This 505-nucleotide ribosomal RNA is filed under the name uncultured bacterium. Its description in RNAcentral is "partial 16S ribosomal RNA". It matches the Rfam family "Bacterial small subunit ribosomal RNA", at positions 28 to 507 of the family's 1533-position model. The record is from RNAcentral.
GACGAACGCUGGCGGCGUGCCUAAUACAUGCAAGUAGAACGCACAGUUUAUACCGUAGCUUGCUACACCAUAGACUGUGAGUUGCGAACGGGUGAGUAACGCGUAGGUAACCUGCCUGGUAGCGGGGGAUAACUAUUGGAAACGAUAGCUAAUACCGCAUAAUAUUAAUUAUUGCAUGAUAAUUAAUUGAAAGGUGCAAUUGCACCACUACCAGAUGGACCUGCGUUGUAUUAGCUAGUAGGUGAGGUAACGGCCCACCUAGGCGACGAUACAUAGCCGACCUGAGAGGGUGAUCGGCCACACUGGGACUGAGACACGGCCCAGACUCCUACGGGAGGCAGCAGUAGGGAAUCUUCGGCAAUGGACGAAAGUCUGACCGAGCAACGCCGCGUGAGUGAAGAAGGUUUUCGGAUCGUAAAGCUCUGUUGUAAGAGAAGAACGGGUGUGAGAGUGGAAAGUUCGCACUGUGACGGUAUCUUACCAGAAAGGGACGGCUAACUACGUG